UGAUUCAUGUUGACUUGUCAA
Non-coding RNA from Caenorhabditis elegans, 21 nucleotides. The record is from Ensembl. Lineage: Eukaryota; Metazoa; Nematoda; Chromadorea; Rhabditida; Rhabditidae.